CGAACCCCAUCAAGCCAAAUUUCAAGCCCCAAAGCUCCCAAAAAUUAAGAAGAUAAGGAAAAUUAACUUUUUCUUACCUUGGUGCAGCAUGAAGACAAAGAAAGCAACGAAAGACGGUCAUUUGCAUGGGCAAGUGUAAAAAAUUGCUAGGAAAGGAAGAGCAAAUAUCCUCUAGCUUUCUCUCUCUUGUAUGGUAGAAUAAAUUUCUCUCUGAAGUUAAUUUAAUCAUGUACUUAAGGUAGACUUAAAUAGACUUUAGAAGUAAUUUAUUUCUCUUUCCUAGAAUGAUCUAAUUUCCAAUUAAAGAGGGAAUCUACAUCAAAGUGGGAAACAAUCCUAUGUUUCCUAAAACAAAAGAAGAUCUCUACACCUGCUGCCCUUUCCUACGAGCAGCCCAACAUGUGUAGGGGCAUUUGUGGAGCAAAAAAUAAUCAAGAAAAUUAUGGAGGCGACACGUGGAUUUUUGGGUAAAAGACAAAAUUACCCACGCGCAUGCAACGGACAAUAAUUGUUCAAUCAAGAUCAGAGGUGAUCAAAAUGGUAUUUAUUUAAAACCCUCUCAUCACUCCUCAUUAAAUCCCCACCCACAAGGUAACUCCCAAUUAUUCUUUUAAAAUUGGGAUUAAUUACCAAAUUAAUUGUAAGAUAUUAUUUGACAUAAUAUCUUGCAAUUAUAUUCAAAAUACCACCAUAAGUAGCCGAUCUCUAUUUCUCCAAAUAGGGCUGGCCACACCCCUAUAUAUGGCCUCAUCUUCAUACCAAAAUGUAAGUUCAUUCUCACCCUAAAAUUCCCUAAACACUUUCUCUCUCAAAUUCUAACUUUGACAUCAGAGAUUCUUCGGCCAAAGCCCCCCCCCAUUCAUCGUGGGCGCAUGAGACUCUUGACCUUGAACUUAGGUGUUAUUAUUUUGCAAGAGCUUUUUCGUCAAAGGAAAAGAAUGCGAAAAUUUGCAUCCUCAUAUAUGAUUAACUUCCGAUCGUGUUUGCGCAAUUGAAAAUGAUGGCCUUCCAUUUGGCAAUUGGCAUGGAUGUUAAACGUCUCUCUCUUAACAUAGACCUUAGAAACUUCAAGAGGUAUCUCUACAUAUUCUAGAUUAAGGACGGUUGGAAUCGUAGCUUACGUUACAAUUUAAGGCACCUCAUAAAUGCGACAUCAUUAGAACCUGUAGAAUGGAAUAACCAAAUCUUAAUUAAUUUGUGUAAGAAAUAAAUCUUAAUUAAUUAAAAUUUGAAACAAAACUUUGAAAAAGGUUGAUUUUGUGAAUUAAAAUAAUAAAAACGAAUUUAAAUAAAAGCACCAAGUAAAUCGGCAAAAGAAAGUAAAUAAAAGAAAAUGAUUUUUUUUAAAAUUAAAUUGUAAAAGCACUAGGGUUCUGCUGUUACCUUAACAAUCUAACAUAGUUAUUACAAUUACUUAUAACUUAUGCAUGCAUAUUUUGAAGGUUAUGUUUUACUAAAGUAUGCUCUACUUGGAACCCCAGUAUAGAACGUAUAUCAAACAUGCAACCCAUCUGUGAUAUUCAAAUCAAAUCUAAAUAUACAAGACUCUUUAAGCUUUAUAAAACCUUUUGAAAAACCAUGAACCCUUAAAACAUGGUAUUCAUCCCAAGUGUUACAAUUAUUAAUCACAAGAAGCCUUCGUCAAUUUCAGGGAUAGCCCUCCAAUCAAACUUGCAUCAAAUUACUUUUCUAAAUAUCCUAAUGGUAGCUAAGCAUAGUUUAAACAUGGUGAUUAAUAAUUCAAAACCUACGUGCAUAAUAUCAUAAGUAAAUUGAAAGGAAACUAUGUAUUCUUGCUAAGGCUCGUGGCCUUGCCCUAGCAAAAAUGGAUUAGUUGUGCAGAAUCAUAGAGAAAAAUAUUAUUAAGAACAUGGAUAGAAAACAUAUUGUAAAUAAACUUGAACCGUCAAAAGCUCUCUAAGUCGAGUUCUCCAAAGUAGUGUGUCAAGAACCCUAAUGGCUAAUUAGCCUUAUUUAUACUACUACAUAAUAAAAGCCUUCCUUGAAAAGGUCUUAAAAAAAACUAGGAAACAAAAUAACGAAAUGAUAACUAAAAAUCAUGAUCCAUUUCAACCAAGGAAAUCUGCCCAGUUGGUAAUUCCCCAUGUUUCUGGACCAUCAAGGCUCCAAAUCAGGCCCAAAAUGACUCUUUUUAAAGUUUGAGAUGUCUUGAACAUAUUUCCAGAAGGCCUUGAACCCAAAGAUACCAUCAUGGACACUAAGAAACCUAGUUAAGCCCAAAACGUCAGUUCAGCAACACUGCACGCUACUCCUUUAUUUCGUCGGUAUAAAUUAUCCACUCGGUAGAAAAAUAUAAAACUUUGAUAUGAACUAUCUCUACACACGAACAUCCUUCAAUUGAAACCACUCCAAAAUUUGUACAUUUGAUCACUUUUUUUUUCUCAAGAGAAAAUUGCAUGUCAUACAUUGAAAAUAUAAAUCAAAGUAUCAAGAUUUCACCAAAAUAAUUACCAAAGAAUACUAAAAAUAGAAUAAAUAUGUAAUAUAAAAUAGACUCAUCAAUCUACAACAUCAUGACUAUUAUGCCAAGAUCUACUGUAAAACAUCAAAAGCUACUAUUGAAAGAUAAUGACUUGUAUAACAAGAUAUGCAACCCCGCCAUCAUCGAUCCUCCAACUUCGAACUUCAUUUCCAAGUUGUCGCACAAAAAAAUAAAAUAAAAUAAAACUAGACGGAGUUGUCGUAUUAUCCAUCCAAAUUGAUGGUAAGCUUGAACAAGUAUGGAUCUUAAAGGGUCUUAGAGAGCUCCAACCUCCAUUGUAAGUCAUCAAAGUGUGAAUUAGGAUAGUUGGUUAUUGUAUCUAAAAGAAGUAGAGAGAUGGUAGAAAAAGAUAUUAUACAUAUUUGUAAGAAACGAUAUUCAUUAUAUAAAUUUCAAGCAUGCAUCAAAAACGUUUCUAAGACGUCAAAUAAAUUCACAAUAAGAGUAAUAAUCUUUAAAGAAAAAACCUAUGAUCGCAUAACCCUUUUAUCUUUUCUCGGUCUCCUUUCUUUUGCUACCACUCUAUUAUUUUCCUUUUGGACAGAUAUAUGAUUAGCUUCCUUCUUGUUUGCGCAAUUGAAAACGAUGGCCUUCCAUUUGGCAAUUGGCAUGAAUGUUAAAAGUCUCUCUCUCUCUCUAAACAUAGACCUUAGAAACUUCAAAAGGUAUCUCUACAUAUUCUACAUUAAGGACAAUUGGAAUCAUAGCUUACGUAACAGUUGAAGGAACCUCACGAAUGCCACAUCAUUAGAACCUGUAAAGUGGAAUAACCAACGUGAGCCAUCACCUUUUUCCACCCUCGAAUGAAUCCCUUUAAUAUCUUCUUUUGCUUUAACAUGCAAGUUUCAUUCCCAUUCACACAUCUUUUUAGCUUAGUUUUGGAUGCUUUGGACAAAAUUUAAGGUCAAUAUUUGAAGAAAGGAAGGAUUUUCAUGGCUCAAGAAGGGAGACGGAGAUAAAUGACAUAGAUUCAUUUAUCUCCGUAUCUCUCUAUGUCAAUUAUUCAAGGAUAUGUAUAAAAAAUUUACCACAAAACUUUGUAUCACUAUCACAAAAAGUCUUAAUAAUUGUAUAUUCGCUUCGUGUAAGUUACUCUCUCAGAUAAAUAGGGCUUUUAAGAAGUCUCUUUCCUUGUCGAUACGUUUAGCUGUGUGAACUUCACAUUUGCAUGCUGAGAGAGAGA
Molecule: long non-coding RNA, 3686 nt
Filed under: Malus domestica (apple)
Lineage: Eukaryota; Viridiplantae; Streptophyta; Magnoliopsida; Rosales; Rosaceae
Description: long non-coding RNA (MDOM_LNC015447)
Source: RNAcentral